GUACACUCGGAUGUAAAACGUAAUUCAAGGGCUGAGGGUUUAGGGCCGAGGGCUGUUGAGUUUGAAACGCAGCUGGAAGACAAUCCGGAACAGGCAAGAUCAGGACAAAGCUAGCCCGUCCCCCUCCACCCUCCAGGAGUCACCAGGUCCACCGCCUCUCCAUACUUUACUGCUGGUUCUGGUCGACUGCAGGAAGGGGACAUCCCUAAUCAUUGCUCUCUUAGUGGGAGGGGCGUAUCAUCUGGGGAGCCUCCACAACAUCAUGAUUCUGAUAAGAAAGAGAAGAGUCUCUCCAGAUCAGAACACCUCAAGAAACACCAGCAUAGAGGUAUAGGGAAGAAACC
RNAcentral lists this long non-coding RNA (344 nucleotides) under Salmo salar (Atlantic salmon). RNAcentral describes it as "lncRNA (ENSSSAG00000113118.1)". The record is from RNAcentral. Lineage: Eukaryota; Metazoa; Chordata; Actinopteri; Salmoniformes; Salmonidae.